CGGAACGGAGCUAUACUGAUAAUAUAUUGAACCGCAUGGUUCAAUAGUGAAAGACGGUUUUGCUGUCACUUAUAGAUGGAUCCGCGCCGCAUUAGCUAGUUGGUAAUGUAACGGCUUAACCAAGGCAACGAUGCGUAGCCGACCUGAGAGGGUGAUCGGCCACACUGGAACUGAGACACGGUCCAGACUCCUACGGGAGGCAGCAGUU
Molecule: ribosomal RNA, 208 nt
Filed under: uncultured Staphylococcus sp.
Lineage: Bacteria; Bacillati; Bacillota; Bacilli; Caryophanales; Staphylococcaceae
Description: partial 16S ribosomal RNA
Rfam family: Bacterial small subunit ribosomal RNA
Source: RNAcentral